This is a non-coding RNA of Pelobates cultripes (western spadefoot toad), 297 nucleotides long. Lineage: Eukaryota; Metazoa; Chordata; Amphibia; Anura; Pelobatidae. The record is from the annotation of a GenBank genome assembly.
UACAUACACAGAAACACACCUUGCAGCCCUUACACAUACAAACACAGAUUCACACAAUGCAUUCCUUACACACAAAUCAGGACAUUCCCUACACACUCCAUCCCCUGUGAACAAACCCAUUGGUGGAAAAUGAAGGUGGACCCUGGGACCCAGACCUUGAGCUGUGUAAAGGGCCCCCAAAAAAUGGAGCUGCUUCUCGUUCUCCCAGAACAUUGAUUUGUGUGACCACAGUUACAAACAGCCUCCAGAGAUCCGGUUAUACACCAGACCAGUGGAGCCAGACUGCAGCUAGAGCCC